Molecule: long non-coding RNA, 835 nt
Organism: Pseudopipra pipra
Lineage: Eukaryota; Metazoa; Chordata; Aves; Passeriformes; Pipridae
Exons: 3
Source: RefSeq, a predicted model, not a curated record
CAGAGGUGCCAUGGUCUCUCUCCCCUCCAGCAUGCCAGCUGUGUGGACGAUCAGAGGCUGACCCGGACGUGUGGAGAAAAAAAUCCAGAUAAAUGGGCUCUGUUUCCACGAGUUCUGCCGGGUGAGUUGCUUCAUGUUUUGACAGGCAGUCCCUGCCACUCUCUCCUCAUCAGUACGUGUCCUUUUUUCUACAGUUUUUUGCCAGCCACCUUCAUCUGCACAAUGAUGAUCAAGUAGGAUUCCAGGGCUUUCUCCCAAGGGAUAUCCUAGAUGUAGUCUCCCGGGAAGCACAGAAGAGCUGCUGCAUCUGUGGCCAGAGCGGGGCCACCAUCUCCUGCUGGGAAACAGUCUGUGACCUGAGCUUCCACCUGCCCUGUGCCAAGCAGGGAGGCUGUGUCACCCAGUUCAUUCCACCGUACAGCUCCUACUGCCCCGCACACAGCCCACAGCAGGCAGUGGAGGCGACUCCAGAGCCGGGCACAAACAGAGACAUCCUGCAAGCGAAACCACUUCUGGCAGCAAUAUCAGAGCCCCAGUACACAGAGCCAGUCCAGAAGUCAUCGUGACAGGAGACAUGUGAGAUCACCAAGGGCUGGGAGGUGCAACAGCGGCCAGGAAGAAUCGAGGACAUCCCAAAGGCAAAACCAGCAACGUCAGACUCCAAAUUAAUGCAGCCAAUCUAGAAGUUGCCGUGACAGGAGCCGUGUGGCCGCCCCAAGUGCUGGGAGAUGCACCCCCAUCCAGGAAGCAUGAAGAACAUCACAGACGUGAAACCGGUUCUGUCAGCAACUUAUCAAAUCCCUUCAAUAAAUGUAUAGGACUGCUUUUUAAAAUA